Long non-coding RNA from Cannabis sativa, 682 nucleotides. RefSeq lists it as uncharacterized. The record is from RefSeq and is a predicted model, not a curated record. The transcript has 3 exons. NCBI's taxonomy places the organism in Eukaryota, Viridiplantae, Streptophyta, Magnoliopsida, Rosales, Cannabaceae.
UGAUAUGGCAAACAAUAUCCCCCUCUAUUAAUUACUUAGCAUAUAAGCCAUAAGUGAUUAUGACAUGGAUUUACCUUGAGAACCGCCCUAAAUGCCACAUUGCUCAAAACAAUUCGAACUAUAAACAAAUGACACUAAACGUGGAUGAUUUACCAAAAGUCUUACCAUCUCCCAAAUAAAAACAAUUUCUCUUUUUCUUAUUUUAUUUAUUUCUUUGAAAAUAUCAGUGUGAGGAAGGGCCUUUGCCUUGCUAUAUAUUUCACCACUUUGGUAAAAGACUCAUCUCAUCUCUUUCUCUAUGCUUUUCACUAUAUAUUUCUCUCACUCACUCUCUUUCUCAACUAGCUAUAGCUCAAUUUCACCUCAUAUGGUUUUUUGAAGAGAAAGUUUGAAGGGAAGAUAAAAGAGUUGUUGGUCUGUGUUUCUCUAGCUACCUAAAAGCCAGGAAAUUUUGUGGUUGAGCGAGAAUGUGCUUGACGAAUAAUGAUAUGUUUUCUAAGGAGAAGGCACUAUUAUAUUUCCCUCUCUCAAUGAGAAAUAUUAAUAAUAAUAAUAUUGACAAUCAAAAUGAUACUGCUCCACUAGAACUGGGAUCAGUAGUUCACUCCAAUUUUAAUAAAGCCAACAACAAAAUAAUAGUAUUGGAUGAUGGUGAUGAUGAAGCUCUCAUCUUCAAAGAUUU